Molecule: ribosomal RNA, 433 nt
Filed under: uncultured bacterium
Lineage: Bacteria
Description: partial 16S ribosomal RNA
Rfam family: Bacterial small subunit ribosomal RNA
Source: RNAcentral
AACGAACGCUGGCGGCAUGCCUAACACAUGCAAGUCGAACGAAGGCUUCGGCCUUAGUGGCGCACGGGUGCGUAACGCGUGGGAAUCUGCCCUUUGCUUCGGAAUAACAGUUAGAAAUGACUGCUAAUACCGGAUGAUGUCGCAAGACCAAAGAUUUAUCGGCAAAGGAUGAGCCCGCGUAGGAUUAGCUAGUUGGUGGGGUAAAGGCCUACCAAGGCGACGAUCCUUAGCUGGUCUGAGAGGAUGAUCAGCCACGCUGGGACUGAGACACGGCCCAGACUCCUACGGGAGGCAGCAGUGGGGAAUAUUGGACAAUGGGCGAAAGCCUGAUCCAGCAAUGCCGCGUGAGUGAUGAAGGCCUUAGGGUUGUAAAGCUCUUUUACCCGGGAUGAUAAUGACAGUACCGGGAGAAUAAGCUCCGGCUAACUCCGUG